This 495-nucleotide ribosomal RNA is filed under the name uncultured bacterium. RNAcentral describes it as "partial 16S ribosomal RNA". It matches the Rfam family "Bacterial small subunit ribosomal RNA", at positions 28 to 507 of the family's 1533-position model. The record is from RNAcentral.
GACGAACGCUGGCGGCGUGCCUAAUACAUGCAAGUAGAACGCUGAAGGAGGAGCUUGCUUCUCCGGAUGAGUUGCGAACGGGUGAGUAACGCGUAGGUAACCUGCCUGGUAGCGGGGGAUAACUAUUGGAAACGAUAGCUAAUACCGCAUAACAGUAGAUGUUGCAUGACAUUUGCUUAAAAGGUGCAAUUGCAUCACUACCAGAUGGACCUGCGUUGUAUUAGCUAGUUGGUGAGGUAACGGCUCACCAAGGCGACGAUACAUAGCCGACCUGAGAGGGGGAGCGGCCACACUGGGACUGAGACACGGCCCAGACUCCUACGGGAGGCAGCAGUAGGGAAUCUUCGGCAAUGGACGGAAGUCUGACCGAGCAACGCCGCGUGAGUGAAGAAGGUUUUCGGAUCGUAAAGCUCGGUUGUAAGAGAAGAACGAGUGUGAGAGUGGAAAGUUCACACUGUGACGGUAUCUUACCAGAAAGGGACGGCUAACUACGUG